CAAGGAAUUUUCCGCAAUGGGCGAAAGCCUGACGGAGCAACGCCGCGUGCAGGAAGACGGCCUUCGGGUUGUAAACUGCUUUUGCCGGGGACGAAAAGGACGGUACCCGGCGAAUAAGCCCCGGCUAACUCCGUGCCAGCAGCCGCGGUAAGACGGAGGGGGCAAGCGUUGUCCGGACUUACUGGGCGUAAAGCGCACGUAGGCGGCGUGAUGCGUCGGCACUGAAAGCGCUCGGCUUAACCGAGCGAGGUGUGUCGAUACGAUCACGCUCGAGGCACUGAGAGGUUGGUAGAAUUCCAGGUGUAGUGGUGAAAUGCGUAGAGAUCUGGAGGAAUACCGGUGGCGAAAGCGACCAACUGGCAGUGACCUGACGCUGAGGUGCGAAAGCGUGGGGAGCGAACC
Molecule: ribosomal RNA, 402 nt
Filed under: uncultured bacterium
Lineage: Bacteria
Description: bacterial SSU rRNA
Rfam family: Bacterial small subunit ribosomal RNA
Source: RNAcentral